Molecule: ribosomal RNA, 119 nt
Organism: Rhinopithecus bieti (black snub-nosed monkey)
Lineage: Eukaryota; Metazoa; Chordata; Mammalia; Primates; Cercopithecidae
Source: Ensembl
GUCUGCGGCCAUACCACCUGGCACACGCGCGAUCUCGCCUAAUCUCAGAAGCUAUGCAGGGUCGGGCCUGGUUAGUACCUGGAUGGUAGACCGCUUGGGAAUACUGGGUGCUGUAGGGU